This 480-nucleotide ribosomal RNA is filed under the name uncultured organism. RNAcentral's name for it is "partial 16S ribosomal RNA". It matches the Rfam family "Bacterial small subunit ribosomal RNA", at positions 329 to 800 of the family's 1533-position model. The record is from RNAcentral.
ACGUACACUCCUGCGGGAGGCAGCAGUGGGGAAUUUUGGACAAUGGGCGAAAGCCUGAUCCAGCCAUGCCGCGUGCAGGAUGAAGGCCUUCGGGUUGUAAACUGCUUUUGUACGGAACGAAACGGCCUUUUCUAAUAAAGAGGGCUAAUGACGGUACCGUAAGAAUAAGCACCGGCUAACUACGUGCCAGCAGCCGCGGUAAUACGUAGGGUGCAAGCGUUAAUCGGAAUUACUGGGCGUAAAGCGUGCGCAGGCGGUUAUGUAAGACAAUUGUGAAAUCCCCGGGCUCAACCUGGGAACUGCAUCUGUGACUGCAUAGCUAGAGUACGGUAGAGGGGGAUGGAAUUCCGCGUGUAGCAGUGAAAGGCGUAGAUAUGCGGAGGAACACCGAUGGCGAAGGCAAUCCCCUGGACCUGUACUGACGCUCAUGCACGAAAGCGUGGGGAGCAAACAGGAUUAGAUACCCCGGUAGUCCCAUGA